AACGAACGCUGGCGGCAUGCCUAACACAUGCAAGUCGAACGAGAACUUCGGGUCUAGUGGCGCACGGGUGCGUAACGCGUGGGAACCUGCCCUUAGGUUCGGAAUAACUCCCCGAAAGGGGUGCUAAUACCGGAUAAUGUCCUCGGACCAAAGAUUUAUCGCCUUUGGAUGGGCCCGCGUUGGAUUAGCUAGGUGGUAGGGUAAAAGCCUACCAAGGCGACGAUCCAUAGCUGGUCUGAGAGGAUGAUCAGCCACACUGGGACUGAGACACGGCCCAGACUCCGACGGGAGGCAGCAGUGGGGAAUAUUGGACAAUGGGCGAAAGCCUGAUCCAGCAAGGCCGCGUGAGUGAUGAAGGCCUUAGGGUUGUAAAGCUCUUUUACCCGGGAUGAUAAUGACAGGACCGGGAGAAUAAGCUCCGGCUACCUCCGU
This 432-nucleotide ribosomal RNA is filed under the name uncultured bacterium. Its description in RNAcentral is "partial 16S ribosomal RNA". It matches the Rfam family "Bacterial small subunit ribosomal RNA", at positions 29 to 506 of the family's 1533-position model. The record is from RNAcentral.